Molecule: unclassified non-coding RNA, 404 nt
Filed under: soil metagenome
Description: partial contains 5.8S ribosomal RNA, internal transcribed spacer 2, and large subunit ribosomal RNA
Rfam family: 5.8S ribosomal RNA (bases 1-122)
Source: RNAcentral
GAUGAAGAACGUAGCAAAAUGCGAUACUUGGUGUGAAUUGCAGAAUCCCGUGAACCAUCGAGUUUUUGAACGCAAGUUGCGCCCGAAGCCUUUUGGCCGAGGGCACGUCUGCCUGGGCGUCACGCAUCGCGUCGCCCCCCACAAUUCUCCGUAAAGGGAACAUGUGUUUUGGGGGCGGAUAUUGGUCUCCCGUGCUCAUGGCGUGGUUGGCCGAAAUAGGAGUCCUUUCGAUGGACGCACGAACUAGUGGUGGUCGUAAAAACCCUCGUCUUUUGUUUCGUGCUGUUGCUCGCAAGGUAAACUCUUUAAAAACCCCAAUGUGUCGUCUCUUGACGACGCUUCGACCGCGACCCCAGGUCAGGCGGGACUACCCGAUGAGUUUAAGCAUAUCAAUAAGCGGAGGA